CUGUGAUAAAAUAUUAUGACAUAUGACUUAAGGAAGGAAGGGAAAGCCAGGAGGUGGUGGCACACGCCUUUGAUCACAGCAGAGGCAAGCAGACCUCUGUGAGUUCGAGGCCAGCGUAGACUAAAGAGUGAGUUCCAGGACAGCCAGGACUGUUUUACGGAGAAACCCUGUCUAGAAAAACAAACAAACAAACAUACAUUAUGGCAAAGAAGUUGAGACACUCGGUGUCUGCAGUCAAGAAGAAAAACAGGCCCACAUUGUGGCACACACCUUUAAUCCUAGCACCUGGGAGGCAAAGGCAGGUAGAUCUCUGUGAGUUCGAGGUCAGCCUAGUCUACAUAAUGAGUUUCAGGCCAGCCAAGGGCUACAUAGUGAGACCUUGUCUCUGGGGGAAAAAAGAAGGAGGAGGAAGGAAGAGGAAGAGGAAGCCAGCAAUAAAUGCAUGGUGUUGCUGCGUUCACUUUCUCCUUUUUACACACUCCAGGAUCCCAGCCCAGAGAACCGUACCUAACUAACCAAGACAAUAACCCUCCACAGGGAUGUCCAGAGGCCAUCUCCCAGGUGUCAUCAAACUAACAACAGAGAUCAAUCAUCAUAGGUGCUGAGUGUACUGGGUCGAUACUGUGUGGGGACCGAGCAUGGCACUGGCUGGGUACUGGAUGUAUACUUGACCAUCACUGAGAGGGCACUGAUCUAGGCCACCACUCCUGUCUGGGACCUGGGUCUUCUACUGUGUCCUCCUGGUUUUCCAGCACAGCUGGACCCUGAGCUUUGCUCUAGCCAUCCCCUCCACAGAGUGCCUGAAGUUCUCCACCGUCACCUCACAGAACCCCACUCACCCUCCCCAGCUUUAGUGGAAUGACCUGUGGGUGACCACGUCAUCUGUCAAUCUCUAAUAAGGCUGAUGCCCGAGCAGACAUGAAUGUUCCAGUCAUCACAGCAAUAGCCAGCCUGGAAUCCAG
RNAcentral lists this long non-coding RNA (962 nucleotides) under Cricetulus griseus (Chinese hamster). RNAcentral's name for it is "lncRNA (ENSCGRG00015031889.1)". Lineage: Eukaryota; Metazoa; Chordata; Mammalia; Rodentia; Cricetidae. The record is from RNAcentral.